This 339-nucleotide ribosomal RNA is filed under the name uncultured bacterium. RNAcentral's name for it is "bacterial SSU rRNA". It matches the Rfam family "Bacterial small subunit ribosomal RNA", at positions 28 to 351 of the family's 1533-position model. The record is from RNAcentral.
GACGAACGCUGGCGGCGUGCCUAACACAUGCAAGUCGAGCGAUGAAAUCCUUCGGGAUGGAUUAGCGGCGGACGGGUGAGUAACACGUGGGUAACCUGCCUCAAAGAGGGGAAUAGCCUUCCGAAAGGAAGAUUAAUACCGCAUAAUAUGUUUUGAUCGCAUGAUCGAAACAUCAAAGGAGUCUUCUUCUUAUGAAGAAGCAUCCGCUUUGAGAUGGACCCGCGGCGCAUUAGCUAGUUGGUGAGGUAACGGCUCACCAAGGCGACGAUGCGUAGCCGACCUGAGAGGUGAUCGGCCACAUUGGAACUGAGACACGGUCCAGACUCCUACGGGUGGCAG